CAGUCGCCACGGUAAUACGUAGGGUGCGAGCGUUAAUCGGAAUUACUGGGCGUAAAGCGUGCGCAGGCGGUUAUAUAAGACAGAUGUGAAAUCCCCGGGCUCAACCUGGGACCUGCAUUUGUGACUGUAUAGCUAGAGUACGGUAGAGGGGGAUGGAAUUCCGCGUGUAGCAGUGAAAUGCGUAGAUAUGCGGAGGAACAUCUGUGGCGAAAGCGGCUCACUGGACAAUAACUGACGCUGAUGCACGAAAGCUAGGGGAGCAAACAGGAUUAGAUACCCCAGUAGUCCCUGUCUCUUAUAC
This 301-nucleotide ribosomal RNA is filed under the name uncultured bacterium. Its description in RNAcentral is "partial 16S ribosomal RNA". It matches the Rfam family "Bacterial small subunit ribosomal RNA", at positions 509 to 807 of the family's 1533-position model. The record is from RNAcentral.